This 928-nucleotide long non-coding RNA is filed under the name Homo sapiens (human). RNAcentral's name for it is "HSALNT0393613". Lineage: Eukaryota; Metazoa; Chordata; Mammalia; Primates; Hominidae. The record is from RNAcentral.
AGCCGCCCGCCCCCGCCCCGCCGAAGCGCCCCGUAUUUUGCUGCAGCCCGCGGGGGGUCGCCGGAGGGAAGCCUAGAGUGCGCCGAGCACCGCCCCGGCAGGUGGAGGGGCUGCGGGAAAUAAAAUAACUUGGGCAGGAACUUGAUUGGUAGCAGGUUCAUCUUUGGUCCGCGGUAGGGAAUCUAAUGGAGAUGAAGAAUGGUGGGGAAGGGGGGGCGGUGUCUCCUUGGGAGCCUAACGUACGCUUCUUUAUUUUGUCAUUCUUUGGAGAUGGGUAAUCUUUCCUGGCAGGGGCAGACACAGCAAACUAAGGACGCAGGCCAAGCUCAUCCUAGCUAUUGUUGUCUGAGGCGCUCGCCGGGAGCCACCUGCGGGCGGGGGAGGGCGGAGGCCGCGGCUCCUCUCUGGAGCUCGCACCUUCAGCUCCCACCCUUGAGGAUGUACUGGAACAGCCCAAGUUUUUGUGUUCUUGUUUUGUUUUCUUUUGUCCCCUCUGGGAGUUUGAGAGUGCAUGUUUGUUAUUUUAUUUGAAAUCUCCCGUUUUCUAUUUCUAUUACUACCUGUUAGUGGUACUGUUCACAUUUGGGGCCAACAGUUUCAGGGUACUUUUACCCUCUCCUACCACCCCUAACAACAAUUUUUAAAAAAGAGAGAAACUAAAAGCCGGAACUUGAGAAAAUAGGAUUAUAUAAAAGAUAAAAUGACUGAUACAGAAUUCUCACCACGUAAAGGAUUUCUGCUGGCUUCCUUUAAGGCAUGAACUUCAAGUGCAACACAGUGAGAGACUUUACAAGUUUGAGUCACAAGCAUUUGUGGAAUGGAGCGGGGGAUGGGGAGCAGUUUUUGUUUUUUCUAAUUCUGGUGAGGUAAUAAAUUUUCCGGAACCUUUUUUAAGAAAGGUUUACAAGUAAAUAGAAAUAUCCGUUUU